Molecule: ribosomal RNA, 279 nt
Filed under: uncultured bacterium
Lineage: Bacteria
Description: partial 16S ribosomal RNA
Rfam family: Bacterial small subunit ribosomal RNA
Source: RNAcentral
UGCCAGCCGCCGCGGUAAUACGGAGGGGGCUAGCGUUGUUCGGAAUUACUGGGCGUAAAGCGCACGUAGGCGGACCAGUCAGUCAGAGGUGAAAUCCCGGGGCUCAACCCCGGAACUGCCUUUGAUACUGCUGGUCUAGAGAUCAUGAGAGGUGAGUGGAAUUCCGAGUGUAGAGGUGAAAUUCGUAGAUAUUCGGAGGAACACCAGUGGCGAAGGCGGCUCACUGGCAUGAUACUGACGCUGAGGUGCGAAAGCGUGGGGAGCAAACAGGAUUAGAUA